UACGUAGGGGGCAAGCGUUGUCCGGAUUUAUUGGGCGUAAAGAGCGUGUAGGCGGCCAGACAGGUCCGUUGUGAAAACUCGAGGCUCAACCUCGAGAUGUCGAUGGAAACCGUCUGGCUAGAGUCCGGAAGAGGAGUGUGGAAUUCCUGGUGUAGCGGUGAAAUGCGCAGAUAUCAGGAGGAACACCAAUGGCGAAGGCAGCACUCUGGGACGUGACUGACGCUGAGACGCGAAAGCGUGGGGAGCAAACAGG
RNAcentral lists this ribosomal RNA (253 nucleotides) under uncultured bacterium. RNAcentral's name for it is "partial 16S ribosomal RNA". It matches the Rfam family "Bacterial small subunit ribosomal RNA", at positions 524 to 776 of the family's 1533-position model. The record is from RNAcentral.